CACCGCGGUUAUACGAGAGGCCCAAGUUGAUAGGCGCCGGCGUAAAGGGUGGUUAUGAUCUUACUUAAAAUAAAGUCAAAUGUCUUCAAGGCUGUUAUACGCACCCGAAGAUAAGAAGCUCAACUACGAAAGUGACUUUAAGAAUUCUGACCCCACGAAAGCUGUGACA
RNAcentral lists this ribosomal RNA (169 nucleotides) under Linophryne densiramus. RNAcentral describes it as "partial 12S rRNA". Lineage: Eukaryota; Metazoa; Chordata; Actinopteri; Lophiiformes; Linophrynidae. The record is from RNAcentral.